Molecule: transfer RNA, 68 nt
Filed under: Trigonidium sjostedti
Lineage: Eukaryota; Metazoa; Arthropoda; Insecta; Orthoptera; Trigonidiidae
Description: tRNA-Asn
Source: RNAcentral
CUUAAUUGGAAAUUAUAUAUUCAAUUCUAUUAUUAACAAUAAUAUGCCUCCUUUUUGGCUUCAAUUAA